CUCACUUUUGGCAUUUCGGCUAAGAUGAAGUCUAGUAUCUGUUCUUAUCAGUUUAAUAUCUGAUAUGUCCUCUAUUUGGGGACAACAAUGGGGGAAGCAAA
This 101-nucleotide small nuclear RNA is filed under the name Dicentrarchus labrax (European seabass). RNAcentral describes it as "U2 spliceosomal RNA (ENSDLAG00005017018.2)". It matches the Rfam family "U2 spliceosomal RNA". From Rfam's summary of the family: U2 is a small nuclear RNA (snRNA) component of the spliceosome (involved in pre-mRNA splicing). Complementary binding between U2 snRNA (in an area lying towards the 5' end but 3' to hairpin I) and the branchpoint sequence (BPS) of the intron results the bulging out of an unpaired adenosine, on the BPS, which initiates a nucleophilic attack at the intronic 5' splice site, thus starting the first of two transesterification reactions that mediate splicing. The record is from Rfam by way of RNAcentral. Lineage: Eukaryota; Metazoa; Chordata; Actinopteri; Moronidae.